UGGGGAAUUGUUCGCAAUGGGCGAAAGCCUGACGACGCAACGCCGCGUGGAGGAUGAAGACCUUCGGGUCGUAAACUCCUUUCGACCGAGAUGAAUUCCCUCCGACCUAACACGUCGGAGGGGUGACAGUAUCGAGGGAAGAAGCCCCGGCUAACUCUGUGCCAGCAGCCGCGGUAAUACAGGGGGGGCAAGCGUUGUUCGGAAUUACUGGGCGUAAAGGGUUUGUAGGUGGCUUGCUAAGUCAGACGUGAAAUCCCUCAGCUUAACUGGGGAACUGCGUCUGAUACUGGAAAGCUUGAGUGCAGGAGAGGAACGCGGAAUUCCAGGUGUAGCGGUGAAAUGCGUAGAUAUCUGGAGGAACACCGGUGGCGAAGGCGGCGUUCUGGACUGCAACUGACACUGAGAAACGAAAGCCAGGGGAGCAAACGGG
Molecule: ribosomal RNA, 430 nt
Filed under: uncultured Vicinamibacter sp.
Lineage: Bacteria; Pseudomonadati; Acidobacteriota; Vicinamibacteria; Vicinamibacterales; Vicinamibacteraceae
Description: bacterial SSU rRNA
Rfam family: Bacterial small subunit ribosomal RNA
Source: RNAcentral